Molecule: long non-coding RNA, 480 nt
Organism: Vicia villosa (hairy vetch)
Lineage: Eukaryota; Viridiplantae; Streptophyta; Magnoliopsida; Fabales; Fabaceae
Exons: 2
Source: RefSeq, a predicted model, not a curated record
UGUUUGUGUUGGUGCUGAACCGGUUUAACAAACCAAUUUGGAUUAACUGCAGGGCUGGAAUUAUGCAGUUAUUUGGUUUAGGUAGGUUUUUUCCUUGUGAAGCAGGUUUGGAAUGUUGUAGAUAUGUGCAGGGACUGUUAUAUGGAUGUUGAAUGAUGUCAUAUACUUGGCAGGUUCUGAUAUUGACGCAUCAUAGGCUGCUGAACUUGUUGUGGAUUGGCUGAAAAACUCGCUUUGGUCAUAGAGAGAACAUGAAGAAUGAUGAGGAAGCUGGCUUGACGCGAGAGUGACGACCUCUUGGAGCAAUCCGAUGGAUUGGACCUCUUUUUUCUUGUUUAAACCCCCUUUUUUUGGUUUUGUUGAUUCAAUUUUGUAACUUAUAAGAAACUUGUAUGACUAGAAACUUUGUAUGUCCAUUAACUUGUAAAGUGAUGUGAUUUCGUUGAUUCGCAUUGAAGCUGAAUGAAACUUUUUCUUGUA